Aedes aegypti (yellow fever mosquito) is the source of this 1151-nucleotide long non-coding RNA. RefSeq lists it as uncharacterized. The record is from RefSeq and is a predicted model, not a curated record. Lineage: Eukaryota; Metazoa; Arthropoda; Insecta; Diptera; Culicidae. The transcript has 2 exons.
AGAGUUCCACCCAUCUUUUGUUUGACGUGUCAAACAAAACCACUGCGUGUGAAAACAAAUUUUACAUUUUGAAGCAUAUUUUCUCAACAUUUGAUGUUAAUUUGAAGAUUUCAUAAUUCGCAUAGCACAAGCAAGUUGUGUCCCACUUUGCAAGAAUCAAAAUAAUCCUUCACAUUUUUUCUAUGAAAUAUAGAAGGUAUGACGGCAAACAAUUACGCGAUCGUGCAGACCAUCGAAUAGGAAGAAGUGCUGCUCUCUGUUUUGCUGUCACGCUGGGUCCUGAAAAACGGCUGGAAGCAUGAAGACCAAGGCGAUGGCCAAGGAGAUGGUUAUGAUCUUUGCUUCUGGCCAAAAGGAGUAUCUGGUUAUCGACUACACAAAAAAGCAAAAAAAACGAAAAUUUCAGCGGAUAAUAAAGUGUUGAAGACAUACUGAUGCAAAAUCAAGCGCAAUAAUUUUUCUCUUUAUUCAGAGGCAUUCCGAGAGCUGAAACUUAUGGAAAUCUAAUCGGACACUAACGAUUACGAACCAAAGAAAAAAUUGAGCAAAACAACGACAGCAGCGGAACUUUUCAAGCAAAUUCAAUCAAGCUCAGCAUCGCGUCCAGGAUUUUCAUCCCCGCAUCCAUGCACGGGUUUUGAUCAAGGUGAUAUUGACAUGGAAGACACUUCUGAUCUAGAUGAAUCGUUUUUGAAGACUUCUGGAAAUCGCGAAGACCAUGCCAUGAAGAUACGUUGUUUGCCGAAAUCACAUUCACAGCCCCAGUAUAAGGAAACAAAAAGUAAUUCCGGACUAAGAACGCCUAUUCUUCAUUUUGAGGAUAUCAAGGGCACUCGAGCUUCUGUUGCCAGAAAACGAAUAAGGCCUAAGCAACAACAACAACACAUGAGAUUGCUCCAGAAAUCAUCGAUGAAGGAUCAGAUAUAAUUGUACAAGAAUUCGCUAUUGAACCAGAUCAUACAUUAUCGCCAAAUCAUUCGUCUAAAACUAUAUCGACGAAAAUGUGGACGUCAUUUACGAUGGUUUUCUUCCCGCUGAAUGAAACACCGGAAAUGAGUUGCUAUUGUUAACCCUAUGUAUCUUUUUGAAUAAGAACUCCAACAAAUGCAAUCAGUACAAUAUACUAUUUUUCAUAUAUUUUAUUCCAAAAA